Folsomia candida is the source of this 845-nucleotide long non-coding RNA. RefSeq lists it as uncharacterized. The record is from RefSeq and is a predicted model, not a curated record. Lineage: Eukaryota; Metazoa; Arthropoda; Collembola; Entomobryomorpha; Isotomidae. The transcript has 2 exons.
AGAAGUAGGAAUUUUCUGGACAAACAGAAAUAUGAGGAUCAUUAAAGUCGUGAACCAUUCGACACAACUGUUGUGGCGUCAUGGACGUGUGUUCCCAGUAGUAAUAGUUAAGUUCCUCUGAAACGAGAAGAGUGGACAGCUCAUUAUUUUUCAUGUAGAGAGGAGGGCUCCAAAUGGAUGCCAUCACGUGGAUAUCUGGAUAUUUGGCAAUUUCGUGAUGAAUGUCAAUGUAGGAACAAAUUGUAUUCGGAGGAGAUUCACACUUUAUUUCAUAAACGUCUCUUGAGGGAGAAAAUUUUGACUCGUAGGAGGUUCUGUAAUAACUGUUGUACAACAUAAUAUGUAUGUACAUACGUAUUUAGAAAUAAUAUAUAUAGUUAUUUUAGUUUACAUACUUAUAACAGAUAUGGUUGAAUCUUACCGAAUUUCAAGGUCAUUAUAUGUCUUAUCAAAUACUUGUUGGACCAUUGAAGGUAACGAUUGUGAAAAAUGACCCAUUGCUCCUAAAUGUACCCCGAAACCCUCGAACAAUUCGUCACACCCAUCGGACAUUGUAUAAACAGAACACAAUAAUACCACAAUGAAUUGGAUUGGCGUCCCCAUUUUAUUAGUAUUAUAUAAAUAACUCCAGUAGAAGUAUAAAACUGCAAUUAAAACCAAAGGACAAUUGAAAGUAGAAAGUCAGUCUGCAAAUAGUCUUGUCCCGUGGUCUUAAUUGGUUUAUAUGUAUGCAUUUAUUGUGAUUGCGAAAGGAUUUUUUCCCAACUUUGGAAACUCAAUAGUUAAUUGCUUGCUAUCUAAAACUUGACAGUUUCAAGUGGAGUAAAAUCAAUUAUGUAAAUUAA